AAUAAAAUUUCUUUCAUUCGAAUAACAGCGAACACAAAGCGCUUGUGCUUGUACUUUUGCCGUAGGUAUACCCCUUGCAGCUGGCUACGUGGUGGAAUGCGUUAGUGAACACGCUGGGUGGGUGAUUUUUGCAGGGCCGUACCGGACCCUUCUCCUCUAUCUUUCCGGUUAAAAUAUUCGCGAUCGAUCGCUGGAUCGUUUAUAAUAUAUUUUCUGCACGACGAAUGCGUCCACGAUCGAUCGAUAUUUAUUCAACGACAAGCGCAAGAAAUAUAACUCAAUUUCUAAUUGCGAGCGUGGAUCGAAACUGGGGAUAGGGUUCGGUGACCGUCGCGAUUAAUAUAUUCCAUUCUUGGCCGCGAGAGGGCUUUCUUGUGGCUCCGAUCACGUGAUCGUUCAGAAUACGAAAAGGUUUUCGUGCACGAAAAGUUUGUUUCUUGGUGAAUUAGUUGAUUUUAACUUGAUAAAGUUUAAAUUUUGCAUUAAAUUGAAUUAUCUUAGUUCGAAUUCGAGAUUGGAAUUAUAUUCGAAAACAAUCCGGUAUAUUUAAUAUUGCAGAAUCCAGAUACUGAUUUCCUCUUCUGAUCUUCGUCAUAUUUACGUAGAUGUAACGCUUGUGUACAAGAAUUUCCACUUAACGAAGAUCCAUCAAAGAAUGUACUUAACCAGUUUUCUCAUGUAAUUGAUUUACUUCAGGGAGAGACGAAGAAAGUCGUUAAAAUCAAAUGACUUGUCUACCGUAAGUUGAAAAAUCUAACAAUAUUUC
Long non-coding RNA from Apis dorsata (giant honeybee), 766 nucleotides. RefSeq lists it as uncharacterized. The record is from RefSeq and is a predicted model, not a curated record. The transcript has 2 exons. NCBI's taxonomy places the organism in Eukaryota, Metazoa, Arthropoda, Insecta, Hymenoptera, Apidae.